CUUUGCCAACAGAUCCCCACCCCUCAUCGAGACUCUCUCACUCUCAACUCUUACAGUCACUCUCAUCGAUUUAUGGCAAUCUCCCCUCGCUACGCCAUUUUGAGGAUUUGAGGAGAAGAGCUCAGAUCCCCACCCUCGCUGCGCCAUUUUGAGCAUUUGAGGAUUUGAUGGUGACUCCCUUGGCGCUCACCGUCUGUCACGGAGGGAGCGCCGAAGCUUCUCCUGAAAGAGAAGGAUUCAGAAGGCGGAGAAGGUGGAAACGAACAAGGACAACAAGGGAAGGUGUCAGAGGGAGAAGAAUGAGCUAGCGAAUCGCCUUGUGAAACUGAGUCGCACCGCAGCGUGAGAUAAACCUCCGAAGGGGUCGAAUUCAAGAACCCUAGCUGCUGAAUCCCCUGUUGUGAACAAUUGGAGUGAUGGUACGAGUUGGUUUCAAUGAGUAUUUGCAUUUUUUUUAAUCUUCAAAAAUCUCAAUGAGUGAUUUCUUUGUGGUGAAAUGGUCCGGUUGGGGAGCCCUGCUACGCCGAAUAUGGAUGUCAAAGCUGAAAGUAAGCCGAGGAUAAACUAAAUUCAACAUGGAGAGAAGCUUUUAUGAAGGCAUAUAAGUCUAUGGACAAAGAGCUCAGGUCUCAUCUGAAUUCGGACUGCUUUUGUAGUGGGAGCAUGGCUGUCACUAUAGUGAAGCAGGGAGUCUCGAGUAGUGAUGGGAUCCAAGGACUUGAAAUCUUUGACUAAUGCUAGUGCUUAUUGUAAGGCAGAGAGUGGUUGGCACAAGGAAGAUGAAAUCCUUGAUGACAGUUGGGUUCAGCAAAGUAGAAAGAAAGGGCCAGCUACCUCGCAUCUCAAUGGAUUGAAUUGGGAGGUGCUUGUUGUUAAUGAGUUGGAUGUCAAUGCCUUUUGGCUACCUGGUGGUAAGAUUGUUGUAUACACCGGAUUGUUAGAGCAUUUUAAAAGUGAUGCUGAGAUUGCCACUAUUAUUAGACAUGAGGUUGGUCAUGCUUUGGCCCGACACACCGCUGAAUAUAUGACAAAGAACUUGUGGUUUGCUAUCCUGUAGUUUAUUCUUUAUCGAUUUGUCAAAUUUUAAAAUGAUCUCUCAGGAACAUGCAAACAGCAGUUGGGGUUUCUGGUGGUGAAGCAUACACUGAUGGGAUUACUGCGCCUCCUCUGAUAAAUGAUAAUGUUGGAGAUAGUGGUCUUCCUAUAAUUUCUAGUCUGAAUUGCCCACCAUUUAUAGCAGUAGAGCAGUGCCGAGAGCAUUUAGUAUGUAAUGAGAGGACAUUUAUUACACAUUGAACCUGCAAUAUACUUUUACCUCCCCUUCUUUAAUUUCAUGUAGUUUUUGUGUAACGUUUCUGUGCUUUAUUCUUGUAACUCAGUGAGUUCAUCCUUGUGAUAAGAGAAGAAGCAUCACUGAGUAUCGGAAUAUAUUUAAUUUCCAGCUAUUAAUUUUUCACUGGUAGGUGAUUUAUUUUGUUUGGCUGAUGUUAUGGACUAGCGUGUACUAAAUUUUGUUAGGAGACACUUCUUGCAAUAAGUUGGUUGAAAUUUGAUUAGUUGACUGAAAUUCAUGUUUGGUAAUUUAGAUAGAAAGUUAUGAAAACAUCUUGUGGAAACUUGACAUUAGAGAGACGAAUGAAGAAGUUGUUGCCAGGGGACUGAAGUUUUUUGAAUGGUUGUGGAAGCGUAAAGAGAAAGAGAUAGCUGUUGUUUCUCACAGCGGUUUUCUGUUUCAUGCCCUAAGUUCUUUUCGAAAUGAUUGCCAUCCAACUAUAAAGAGUGAAAUCUGCACACAGUGAAAAAGUUCACAAAUGUUUCCAAAACAAUUAUGUAUGAUCUAAGAGAAAGAAGUUUAAGAGGGCUAGAAGAAGGAGGAACAGCAAAGGACUUAGGAUUUAAGUUGUAUUGUUUUUGUAUUUUUCCUGAGUUUUUAGUUUUGGAAUUUGAAUUCGAGAUUUAUUUUGUAUUUGAGUAUUAGUUUUUUAAUGUAUAAAAUAAUUAUAGCAAAAAUUAUGUAUGUCACUAAUUAUUGUUUGAUUUGUCUUGUAAUAAAAAUUGCAUACUAUAUUUAUAA
Molecule: RNA transcript, 2074 nt
Organism: Arachis duranensis
Lineage: Eukaryota; Viridiplantae; Streptophyta; Magnoliopsida; Fabales; Fabaceae
Exons: 7
Source: RefSeq, a predicted model, not a curated record